This 253-nucleotide ribosomal RNA is filed under the name uncultured bacterium. RNAcentral's name for it is "partial 16S ribosomal RNA". It matches the Rfam family "Bacterial small subunit ribosomal RNA", at positions 524 to 776 of the family's 1533-position model. The record is from RNAcentral.
UACGUAGGCAGCAAGCGUUGUUCGGAGUUACUGGGCGUAAAGGGUGCGUAGGCGGCUUUUUAAGUCUGGUGUGAAAUCUCCCGGCUCAACUGGGAGGGUGCGCCGGAUACUGAGGGGCUAGAGUGUGGGAGAGGAAAGUGGAAUUCCUGGUGUAGCGGUGAAAUGCGUAGAUAUCAGGAGGAACACCGGUGGUGUAGACGGCUUUCUGGACCGUAACUGACGCUGAGACACGAAAGCGUGGGUAGCAAACAGG